AACUAUAAAGAAAUUAGUUCCUCAUGUUCGCAAAUAAACAAAGAUAAAUAAAUUUAAACAUUGAUAUAAAGAUAGAAAACACCUAGAAAUGCUCCAACAAUCCAAGCUCCUUGAAUGGCAUGCACGGCUCCAAGAAUCUCCUUCCUUCUCCUUUGCAAACUCACGGCACAAGAGGGAUGUUUGGGUGAAUGGUGUAGUGAA
Molecule: long non-coding RNA, 201 nt
Filed under: Malus domestica (apple)
Lineage: Eukaryota; Viridiplantae; Streptophyta; Magnoliopsida; Rosales; Rosaceae
Description: long non-coding RNA (MDOM_LNC012964)
Source: RNAcentral